CAACUAGUCCCUCCGUUCGGAAUUACUUGUCUCGGAAAUGGAUGUAUCUAGAACUAAAAUACAUCUAGAUACAUCCAUUUUUGCGACAAGUAAUUCCGAACGGAGGGAGUAUUAA
Non-coding RNA from Triticum urartu, 115 nucleotides. The record is from Rfam. NCBI's taxonomy places the organism in Eukaryota, Viridiplantae, Streptophyta, Magnoliopsida, Poales, Poaceae.